CAAUAGCGUAUAUUAAAGUUGUUGCGGUAAAAAAGCUCGUAGUUGGAUUUCUGUUGAGAGCGACCGGUCCAUACCAUGUAUGCGUAUCUGGCUUGCUCUCGGCAUCCUCUCGAUAGACGUUACUGCGCUUGAUUGCGUGGUGCGGAUCUCGGGACUUUUACUUUGAGGAAAUUAGAGUGUUCACGGCAGGCUUUCGCCAGAAUACAUUAGCAUGGAAUAAUACUAUAGGAUCUUGGUUCUAUUUUGUUGGUUUCUAGAAUUGAGAUAAUGAUUAAUAGGGACAAUCGGGGGCAUUCGUAUCAACACGUCAGAGGUGGAAUUCUUGGAUUGUGUUGCGACGAACUACUGCGAAAGCAUUUGCCAAGGAUGUUUUCAUUGA
RNAcentral lists this ribosomal RNA (379 nucleotides) under uncultured eukaryote. RNAcentral describes it as "partial 18S ribosomal RNA". It matches the Rfam family "Eukaryotic small subunit ribosomal RNA", at positions 592 to 976 of the family's 1831-position model. The record is from RNAcentral.